Molecule: long non-coding RNA, 2302 nt
Filed under: Portunus trituberculatus (swimming crab)
Lineage: Eukaryota; Metazoa; Arthropoda; Malacostraca; Decapoda; Portunidae
Description: uncharacterized LOC123503960, transcript variant X5
Source: RNAcentral
CUUAUCCCAGUCAGUAGCAUUAUUCGUGUAACUUGUAUGUACAUUGGAUUUAUAAUUAGCAAUAAUUAAAAAGUUUGGUAAUGAAAUGACGAAUCUGGUAAUAACUGGAGUCGAACUUGGUAAUGCCUGUCGUACAAGAGUUGGCAACCCUGUGAUCCCAACCUCCUCAUCGGCUCAGCUGUCUGAUUGCUGACAGCUGAGCUGGGCGCUGGACUGUGGCACGUAUAGGGGUGUGAGGAGGUAAUCCAUGAAGCCAAAAACCUGUGCCAGGCUGCCAAUGUGGCCUGUGGUGCCAAAACUGUGGGAUGCAUGGCUGCCACACCACUGACUGCCCUUGUCACUGUCUGAGGGUCUGGCCAGCACCCUGCACUACCUGAUUGAUCCUGAGGACCCCAAGAACAUUUGCUUUCUGGCCUUUACUUUAGAGUGAGCUGUCCAAGGAAUACCUGGAGAAGAGCAGGAAGAUAAUGGAGGUGGUGCUGGAGAUCCUGGAUGUCGGUGUGGCCAAAGGGGAUGAGGACCAUGGCUGCUCUGUUCACAAGGGCACUGAUGGGGUGGGCUCAGACUCCUCUAUCUGCACUUGGCCCAGUGCAGGGGUGAUGAGGCCUGCCUGAAGAUGGGAGGGCACUGCUGGGAUGAUCUGAGCCUGUGAUUAUUGUAUUUUAUGUGACUCAUAUCUGUGACACAUAUUUGCAUUAUAUCUUUGCUACCUGCUGCUUGGAAUUCUGCAGAGAGAGUAGCUUUGGCAGGAGAAUUUCCUUCACUCCAGUCCUCAUGCUCAAUACUUACACACUCAUCCUGUUCUAUUUUGAAAUAUGUAAACUCUCCUGUGAUAUCAUGCUUAAUAUGGCAGUAGUGUGAGUACAAGAGCAGUGUCUUAUUCUAAGUACUUAAUCUAAAGAGUGUAUUCACCCGAUAGAAAGCCUCGAUCAUCCUGAACAAUGCCCUGCACAAUCUGAUGAGCCAAUGCCAUUCUUUCAUCUGUGGCAACACGCCUUGGCGUUGGCAACCAUGGUGUGCCACUGGGAUGGGGACGCCAGCAUGGUGAAGAAUUGCACCUCACAGUGUGUUGAGAAGGCUGGUUGCUAGUGUGUUUCUGGGAUUUUCUCUCCUCAGUGAGUGUGUGAUCAUUGCUUUGUGCUUUUUAUUAUUCUUUUUAUAGAGAUAGUUUGUUCUGCCUUUGAUACUUUUACUGUAUGUCUUAAAAUUCUUAAUGUAUUUGACAGGUUACAAUCCAAUGAUUAACUUUGUUAUACAUAGUCUUCCCUCUUUAGGAAUGCAUAAUAAAAGGCUGCUUUGUUGACCUGAGAACAUAUGAGAUAAGGAAACAAGAGAAGCUGCAAGCAGCCUUCAGACCUACAUGUGGUAGUCCCUGUUGUGAAGGGAUUAUUUGUGUAGGGACUUGCUGACACUAGAACACAAGGUAGUAAGGAAAGCUGCAAGGUGUCAAGCCCACCUGUGUCAGAUCCUGUAUGAAAUGUUUCAAUUUAUUUCCUUAUAUCAUCCUGAUCCAUAAAUUGUUUGAUCUUCUUCUAAAGCUCCCAAUGACUCAGCACUAAUAGCCUGAUUAAGGAGUAUUUCGUUCAUCUAACACUCUACCAUGUACCUCACAAUAAGUUAAACAUUCUACUAAUUGGUUAUGGAAAAAUGUAAGGAUAGACAUUUAUUAAUUUUUAUUUGAAAGUAACAAUUCUUCCUCUACUCUGGUUUCAGUAGCAAUGUUUUGUAAUGUCUGUUCUUUGUUCAGGUCUUUGGAAAUAAGAGUUACUUGGAGGAUGCCAAGAGAGGGAAGUGUGUGUGGAAGUGAAGCAUCCUGAAGAAGGGUUAUGGUAUCUGUCCCAGCACAACUGGCAAUGGAUAGACACUGCUCUUCUUGUAUCAGGAAGGAAGCCAACCAAGGGCAACAAAAUAUUAAAAAAAAAAAGUCCCGCUUCAAGUGCUGGUUCCCUUAAAAAGUAGUAACAAAUUAGCCAAAAUCAAGAAAGAAAUGUCCCUCGUAAAAGAAGUCAAGUCAUGGGAAGAUGGAAAUACAAGAAGCAGGCAGGGAGUUCCAGAGUUUACCAGAGAAAGGUGAUCUACGAGGCCAAGUCCCUUUACCUUGCUGCCAGUCUGCCAAAACUAUGCCACACGCGAAUGUUGCACCGCUUACUGUCCCUGUCACUGUCAGAGGGUCUAGCCAGCACCCUGCACUGCACAUAAAGAUCAUAUGUAUGUGCAAGAGUAGUCUCUCUCUCUCUCUCUCUCUCUCUCUCUCUCUCUCUCUCUCUCUCUCUCUCUCUCUCUCUCUCUCUCUCUCUCUCUC